GAUGAACGCUGGCGGCGUGCCUAAUACAUGCCAGUCGAGCGAACAGACGAGGAGCUUGCUCCUCUGACGUUAGCGGCGGACGGGUGAGUAACACGUGGAUAACCUACCUAUAAGACUGGGAUAACUUCGGGAAACCGGAGCUAAUACCGGAUAACAUGUUGAACCGCAUGGUUCAACAGUGAAAGACGGUCUUGCUGUCACUUAUAGAUGGAUCCGCGCCGCAUUAGCUAGUUGGUAAGGUAACGGCUUACCAAGGCAACGAUGCGUAGCCGAUCUGAGAGGGUGAUCGGCCACACUGGAACUGAGACACGGUCCAGACUCCUACGGGAGGCAGCAGUAGGGAAUCUUCCGCAAUGGGCGAAAGCCUGACGGAGCAACGCCGCGUGAGUGAAGAAGGUCUUCGGAUCGUAAAACUCUGUUAUUAGGGAAGAACAAAUGUGUAAGUAACUAUGCACGUCUUGACGGUACCUAAUCAGAAAGCCACGGCUAACUACGUG
RNAcentral lists this ribosomal RNA (497 nucleotides) under uncultured bacterium. Its description in RNAcentral is "partial 16S ribosomal RNA". It matches the Rfam family "Bacterial small subunit ribosomal RNA", at positions 28 to 507 of the family's 1533-position model. The record is from RNAcentral.